CGGGGGGGUGCUAUACAUGCAAGUCGAACGAACUCUGGUAUUGAUUGGUGCUUGCAUCAUGAUUUACAUUUGAGUGAGUGGCGAACUGGUGAGUAACACGUGGGAAACCUGCCCAGAAGCGGGGGAUAACACCUGGAAACAGAUGCUAAUACCGCAUAACAACUUGGACCGCAUGGUCCGAGCUUGAAAGAUGGCUUCGGCUAUCACUUUUGGAUGGUCCCGCGGCGUAUUAGCUAGAUGGUGGGGUAACGGCUCACCAUGGCAAUGAUACGUAGCCGACCUGAGAGGGUAAUCGGCCACAUUGGGACUGAGACACGGCCCAAACUCCUACGGGAGGCAGCAGUAGGGAAUCUUCCACAAUGGACGAAAGUCUGAUGGAGCAACGCCGCGUGAGUGAAGAAGGGUUUCGGCUCGUAAAACUCUGUUGUUAAAGAAGAACAUAUCUGAGAGUAACUGUUCAGGUAUUGACGGUAUUUAACCAGAAAGCCACGGCUAACUACGUGCCAGCAGCCGCGGUAAUACGUAGGUGGCAAGCGUUGUCCGGAUUUAUUGGGCGUAAAGCGAGCGCAGGCGGUUUUUUAAGUCUGAUGUGAAAGCCUUCGGCUCAACCGAAGAAGUGCAUCGGAAACUGGGAAACUUGAGUGCAGAAGAGGACAGUGGAACUCCAUGUGUAGCGGUGAAAUGCGUAGAUAUAUGGAAGAACACCAGUGGCGAAGGCGGCUGUCUGGUCUGUAACUGACGCUGAGGCUCGAAAGUAUGGGUAGCAAACAGGAUUAGAUACCCUGGUAGUCCAUACCGUAAACGAUGAAUGCUAAGUGUUGGAGGGUUUCCGCCCUUCAGUGCUGCAGCUAACGCAUUAAGCAUUCCGCCUGGGGAGUACGGCCGCAAGCUGAAACUCAAAGGAAUUGACGGGGGCCCGCACAAGCGGUGGAGCAUGUGGUUUAAUUCGA
Molecule: ribosomal RNA, 950 nt
Filed under: Lactiplantibacillus plantarum
Lineage: Bacteria; Bacillati; Bacillota; Bacilli; Lactobacillales; Lactobacillaceae
Description: bacterial SSU rRNA
Rfam family: Bacterial small subunit ribosomal RNA
Source: RNAcentral